This 658-nucleotide unclassified non-coding RNA is filed under the name Hevea brasiliensis (rubber tree). Lineage: Eukaryota; Viridiplantae; Streptophyta; Magnoliopsida; Malpighiales; Euphorbiaceae. The record is from RNAcentral.
CCACAAAGUAAAAUGAACAAACAAAAUUUUAUAUAUUUGGAGCUGAGAUUAACAGUUACAGACAUCCUGAAGAAAGACUAACGCUUAUGAUAAUUCACAGUUCUUUGAGAAUACAAAGCCGCUCCCUUAUCUUCGAUUUCCUUCUCAAAUUAAUUGCAUUUAAUGGGAGGUGCUCUAUAAUAUGCUGGAACAGUUGCAGGGAAGAACAUUUGUCUAACUCCUUCCGCCUUAAUAAUGGGGAAGAUGAUUCCUGAUGCACCCGAAAUCAACCUAGCACCGACCCAUAUACGAUGAGGUGAAGGAAAUGGCAAUAACAGACGCCCAACACCAUAAAUUGCUACAGCAAAGAAGUGGAGGACCAAGCUCAAUGGACGAGGGUUUAAACCCGAGAGCAAAGAGACUGGUCCUGUUGAGAAUACACCUCCAAGACUCAAAUAAUCAAAGCAGGCUUGGCGCAUUUCCUUCCUUGCUUCAUCAGGUGAAGCACAAAACACCUUGUAGAGGGCACCUGCCAAUGUAUUGAUUGUAGAUGCCACAGGCUUACGCAAGGUGUAGAAGGAUUCAAGAUAUCUGCAGAGAGUAGGAGCAUCAUGUAGGUCUCGCAAAGGCUUGAGAAGAUCCCGUAGCACAACAAUGUCAGAUAGUGCCACAGUCAUUC